RNAcentral lists this ribosomal RNA (468 nucleotides) under uncultured bacterium. RNAcentral's name for it is "partial 16S ribosomal RNA". It matches the Rfam family "Bacterial small subunit ribosomal RNA", at positions 28 to 507 of the family's 1533-position model. The record is from RNAcentral.
GACGAACGCUGGCGGCGUGCUUAACACAUGCAAGUCGAACGGAAAGGCCCUGCUUUUGUGGGGUGCUCGAGUGGCGAACGGGUGAGUAACACGUGAGUAACCUGCCCUUGACUUUGGGAUAACUUCAGGAAACUGGGGCUAAUACCGGAUAGGAGCUCCUGCUGCAUGGUGGGGGUUGGAAAGUUUCGGCGGUUGGGGAUGGACUCGCGGCUUAUCAGCUUGUUGGUGGGGUAGUGGCUUACCAAGGCUUUGACGGGUAGCCGGCCUGAGAGGGUGACCGGCCAAAUUGGGACUGAGAUACGGCCCAGACUCCUACGGGAGGCAGCGGUGGGGAAGAUUGCACAAUGGGCGGAAGCCUGAUGCAGCAACGCCGCGUGCGGGAUGAGGGCCUUCGGGUUGUAAACCGCUUUCGCCUGUGACGAAGCGUGAGUGACGGUAAUGGGUAAAGAAGCACCGGCUAACUACGUG